GGUAACACUGAAUGGAGGACCGAACCGACUUACGUUGAAAAGUGAGCGGAUGAACUGAGGGUAGCGGAGAAAUUCCAAUCGAACCUGGAGAUAGCUGGUUCUCUCCGAAAUAGCUUUAGGGCUAGCCUCAAGUGAUGAUUAUUGGAGGUAGAGCACUGUUUGGACGAGGGGCCCCUCUCGGGUUACCGAAUUCAGACAAACUCCGAAUGCCAAUUAAUUUAACUUGGGAGUCAGAACAUGGGUGAUAAGGUCCGUGUUCGAAAGGGAAACAGCCCAGACCACCAGCUAAGGUCCCAAAAUAUAUGUUAAGUGGAAAAGGAUGUGGCGUUGCCCAGACAACUAGGAUGUUGGCUUAGAAGCAGCCAUCAUUUAAAGAGUGCGUAAUAGCUCACUAGUCGAGUGACACUGCGCCGAAAAUGUACCGGGGCUAAACAUAUUACCGAAGCUGUGGAUUGUCCUUUGGACAAUGGUAGGAGAGCGUUCUAAGGGCGUUGAAGCAUGAUCGUAAGGACAUGUGGAGCGCUUAGAAGUGAGAAUGCCGGUGUGAGUAGCGAAAGACGGGUGAGAAUCCCGUCCACCGAUUGACUAAGGUUUCCAGAGGAAGGCUCGUCCGCUCUGGGUUAGUCGGGUCCUAAGCUGAGGCCGACAGGCGUAGGCGAUGGAUAACAGGUUGAUAUUCCUGUACCACCUAUAAUCGUUUUAAUCGAUGGGGGGACGCAGUAGGAUAGGCGAAGCGUGCGAUUGGAUUGCACGUCUAAGCAGUAAGGCUGAGUAUUAGGCAAAUCCGGUACUCGUUAAGGCUGAGCUGUGAUGGGGAGAAGACAUUGUGUCUUCGAGUCGUUGAUUUCACACUGCCGAGAAAAGCCUCUAGAUAGAAAAUAGGUGCCCGUACCGCAAACCGACACAGGUAGUCAAGAUGAGAAUUCUAAGGUGAGCGAGCGAACUCUCGUUAAGGAACUCGGCAAAAUGACCCCGUAACUUCGGGAGAAGGGGUGCUCUUUAGGGUUAACGCCCAGAAGAGCCGCAGUGAAUAGGCCCAAGCGACUGUUUAUCAAAAACACAGGUCUCUGCUAAACCGUAAGGUGAUGUAUAGGGGCUGACGCCUGCCCGGUGCUGGAAGGUUAAGAGGAGUGGUUAGCUUCUGCGAAGCUACGAAUCGAAGCCCCAGUAAACGGCGGCCGUAACUAUAACGGUCCUAAGGUAGCGAAAUUCCUUGUCGGGUAAGUUCCGACCCGCACGAAAGGCGUAACGAUUUGGGCACUGUCUCAACGAGAGACUCGGUGAAAUCAUAGUACCUGUGAAGAUGCAGGUUACCCGCGACAGGACGGAAAGACCCCGUGGAGCUUUACUGUAGCCUGAUAUUGAAAUUCGGCACAGCUU
RNAcentral lists this ribosomal RNA (1380 nucleotides) under Staphylococcus aureus. RNAcentral's name for it is "partial 23S ribosomal RNA". It matches the Rfam family "Bacterial large subunit ribosomal RNA", at positions 755 to 2135 of the family's 2925-position model. Lineage: Bacteria; Bacillati; Bacillota; Bacilli; Caryophanales; Staphylococcaceae. The record is from RNAcentral.